Long non-coding RNA from Aethina tumida (small hive beetle), 896 nucleotides. RefSeq lists it as uncharacterized. Lineage: Eukaryota; Metazoa; Arthropoda; Insecta; Coleoptera; Nitidulidae. The transcript is spliced from 4 exons. The record is from RefSeq and is a predicted model, not a curated record.
UUCCCUCGAUGAGGAAAAAGGGAAAGGGCGAACUAGUAAAUAAAUCACGAUUAACUCACAAGUGGACUCUUUAUUGAGCCUAAUAACAAUUACAAACAACAAAUUGCGAGAGAAAAAAAAGUACGACCGUCGUCUUCGGGAGUUUGGGGAAGAAGGGACGCGGCGUGGCUUUAAGCUCAAGUGGCGCGCGACGCAAGACGCUUACUGCGUCGAGGAUGCACGCCAUCUGCCGUUGCGCUUCGAAGUGAAGCUUUUGGCGCCACAAUUAUUAUUGUAUAUUAUCAUGUACAUCAAUUUUUGUGUUUGUAGUACUUUUAAAUGAAUUCUAAUAGAUAUUUCUUCAAAUUGAACUGCUUUAAAUAGUGUUGAUGCUCUUAUAUCGAUAAUGCGUUCUGACCAAAAAACCUCAACCUUUUCAAGUUUGGUGUUAGAUGGUUUAUUUUACCAUGUACCAACAUGUUUAGUUUACCAAGUACCCAGACAUUAAAUUCUAAUUUUAGCGGGCAUAUUUCUGCCUUACAAGAUGGAAAAGAAAAGCGACUAAUUUUACUAUAUCAAAGAACAAAUGCCUCUCUUACGAUGGAAAAAAUAAGAUUCCUUAUAUUAGUUCCGAUAAAAAGGAUGAUUUUAUCAACAUCGAAGAGGUUUCAGUUUGACAACGUUUUUUGAAUAUAAAAAAAAUCUAUAUUAAGCAUAAAUGGCAGAGUCAUAAAUACCAUAAACGAUUAUAGAUUGAAUUUCAGAGUUGGACAUAUUGAAAAAUUCAUCGCAGAGAAUGUAAAUUUUUCCAAAACAAACUUAUGGCAUACUUUUGAAUUGUGUGACAAAUCUAAAUAUGUAGUGUUUGUGGUAAGCAUCGAUUUAUGCAAUAAAUUUAAGUGGUAUUUUAUACCUGA